GUGCUCGCUUCGGCAGCACAUAUACUAAAAUUGGAACAAUACAGAGAAGUUAACACGGCCCCUGCACAAAGAAGACACACGAAUUCGUGAAGUGUUCCAUAUUUUA
This 106-nucleotide small nuclear RNA is filed under the name Propithecus coquereli (Coquerel's sifaka). Lineage: Eukaryota; Metazoa; Chordata; Mammalia; Primates; Indriidae. The record is from RNAcentral.